Molecule: ribosomal RNA, 488 nt
Filed under: uncultured bacterium
Lineage: Bacteria
Description: bacterial SSU rRNA
Rfam family: Bacterial small subunit ribosomal RNA
Source: RNAcentral
GAGAACGCUGGCGGCGUGGAUUAGGCAUGCAAGUCGAACGGUAGGAUACCUUCGGGGUAUCUGAGAGUGGCGAACGGGUGAGUAACACGUAGGUGAUCUACCCUCAAGAUUGGGACAACCCAGGGAAACUUGGGCUAAUACCGGAUGAAAGCAGCAGCGAUGUUGUUUGAAAGGUGGCGUAAGCUGCCGUUUGGGGAUGAGCCUGCGCUCUAUUAGUUAGUUGGCGGGGUAAAGGCCCACCAAGGCGAUGAUAGAUAGGCGGCCUUAACGGGUGGUCGCCCACACUGGGAUUGAGAUACGGCCCAGACUCCUACGGGAGGCAGCAGUCGAGAAUAGUCUACAAUGGCCGAAAGGCUGAUAGUGCGACGCCGCGUGAACGAAGAAGCCCUUCGGGGUGUAAAGUUCUUUUAUAUGUGAGCAGUGCUUUCUAUGUGAACAGCAUAGUGAGAGAGAUAUUAGCAUAUGAAUAAGCAACGGCUAACUCCGUG